CUGCAGUGAGUCCCGGCUGCUCUUCUGGUGCUCCAGGCUCAGCCCCCGUGUCAGCACCAUGGCCAGGUCGCUAGCAGCAGGGGACACCUCCUCACCAUGCUUGGCUGCAAUGGUGGCCGGUGACAUUCGGGGUCUGGGAGCAUCCUCGCUGCCCAUGGCUGGGUACACGCUGCUGGCUGAGCCCAUCUCAGCUUCCCGCAGGUGCUCCACACGGUCCUUUCGCCGCUGUAGGGUGCUG
Molecule: long non-coding RNA, 238 nt
Filed under: Gallus gallus (chicken)
Lineage: Eukaryota; Metazoa; Chordata; Aves; Galliformes; Phasianidae
Source: RNAcentral